This 460-nucleotide ribosomal RNA is filed under the name uncultured bacterium. RNAcentral describes it as "bacterial SSU rRNA". It matches the Rfam family "Bacterial small subunit ribosomal RNA", at positions 97 to 573 of the family's 1533-position model. The record is from RNAcentral.
GGCGGACUGGUGAGUAACGCGUGAGGAACCUGCCUUUCAGAGGGGGACAACAGUUGGAAACGACUGCUAAUACCGCAUGACACAUGAAUGGGGCAUCCCAUUGAUGUCAAAGAUUUAUCGCUGAAAGAUGGCCUCGCGUCCCAUUAGCUAGUAGGCGGGGUAACGGCCCACCUAGGCGACGAUGGGUAGCCGGACUGAGAGGUUGACCGGCCACAUUGGGACUGAGAUACGGCCCAGACUCCUACGGGAGGCAGCAGUGGGGAAUAUUGGGCAAUGGACGCAAGUCUGACCCAGCAACGCCGCGUGAAGGAAGAAGGCUUUCGGGUUGUAAACUUCUUUUGUCAGGGAACAGUAGAAGAGGGUACCUGACGAAUAAGCCACGGCUAACUACGUGCCAGCGGCCGCGGUAAUACGUAGGUGGCAAGCGUUGUCCGGAUUUACUGGGUGUAAAGGGCGUGCA